UACCAGCACCCCGAGUGGUCGGGACGUUUAUUGGGCCUAAAGCAUCCGUAGCCGGUUCUACAAGUCUUCCGUUAAAUCCGCCUGCUCAACAGAUGGGCUGCGGAAGAUACUAUGGAGCUAGGAGGCGGGAGAGGCAAGCGGUACUCGAUGGGUAGGGGUAAAAUCCGUUGAUCCAUUGAAGACCACCAGUGGCGAAGGCGGCUUGCCAGAACGCGCUCGACGGUGAGGGAUGAAAGCUGGGGGAGCAAACCGG
RNAcentral lists this ribosomal RNA (253 nucleotides) under uncultured bacterium. RNAcentral's name for it is "partial 16S ribosomal RNA". It matches the Rfam family "Archaeal small subunit ribosomal RNA", at positions 474 to 727 of the family's 1478-position model. The record is from RNAcentral.